RNAcentral lists this ribosomal RNA (465 nucleotides) under Vreelandella stevensii. RNAcentral's name for it is "partial 16S ribosomal RNA". It matches the Rfam family "Bacterial small subunit ribosomal RNA", at positions 338 to 795 of the family's 1533-position model. The record is from RNAcentral. Lineage: Bacteria; Pseudomonadati; Pseudomonadota; Gammaproteobacteria; Oceanospirillales; Halomonadaceae.
CCUACGGGUGGCAGCAGUGGGGAAUAUUGGACAAUGGGGGGAACCCUGAUCCAGCCAUGCCGCGUGUGUGAAGAAGGCCCUCGGGUUGUAAAGCACUUUCAGUGAGGAAGAACGCCUGGUGGUUAAUACCCAUCAGGAAAGACAUCACUCACAGAAGAAGCACCGGCUAACUCCGUGCCAGCAGCCGCGGUAAUACGGAGGGUGCGAGCGUUAAUCGGAAUUACUGGGCGUAAAGCGCGCGUAGGUGGCUUGAUAAGCCGGUUGUGAAAGCCCCGGGCUCAACCUGGGAACGGCAUCCGGAACUGUCAAGCUAGAGUGCAGGAGAGGAAGGUAGAAUUCCCGGUGUAGCGGUGAAAUGCGUAGAGAUCGGGAGGAGUACCAGUGGCGAAGGCGGCCUUCUGGACUGACACUGACACUGAGGUGCGAAAGCGUGGGUAGCAAACAGGAUUAGAUACCCCAGUAGUC